UACAGGCUUGGGCCUAUAGUUCAGUUCAGGCUUAGCAGCCUGGUCAAAAUCACCUGAAAGUAGCCAAAUGAAAGAAUUGCAUUAGUUAGAUGGAAGAUGAAGGUGUUCUGAAGCAAGGCAAGAGAACUGAAGUGCUGAAUAGAAACAAGAAGAGUUAACACAGUAGGGAAGAUCUAAAGCAGGAACACAAUGGCACAUGUGGUGAUGGUAAAAAAUCUGGAUUGCAGUGAAAGUGAAAAGAACUGAAGCAGAAUUUCUAUACUGAUAAAGAAUUCUGAUGAGAUGCCAAGAAAUAAGUCAGAUUUUGAGAAAAUAUGAUAAGCGCUGUAAGGUAAUGAAACUUAUAAGAUGUGAAACGUUUAUUUUUUUCUUAGUGCAUUCUUUCAAACAUUAUGUAGAAUGAAACCUACUGUGGAUCUUUGUGUCCCUGCAUCUUGGAAUGUGACGCAAGACUUCCCAAAUGCUGUAAGAACAAGAAACAUGAUUCUAAAGAAGCCAUUUGGCACCAUGACUGAGACAUUGACAAGUCACUGAGGAAUGUCCUUCAGUUUUUUGUUUGUUGUUUUUAGUGCUACCAGAUUAUGGUGUCCUGUUACUGGUAAAGUGUUAACUAUUCUGUCAACAUGCUUAUUAUAGACUGUUUUCUCUGGCAAGUGGAAACUAAUUGGAGUCUUUCCAUAAUCAUUGAUGAGUUAACAGGCACUGACAAGGAAGACAAAGGCAAUGGCCUAUUGCUGAAGGUGACAGAGAGUUUCUGCUGUUUUCCCCAUACGUGAACUCACCUGCAGCUUCAUCCAGAAAGAAGCAUCACUGGUGAAGCACAUUGUCCUCAACCCAGAAUUUGAUUUAUCAGAUCCUUUUCAUCAAGCUAUGACAGAGCUGUCCUUGCUGCUGCACAGAUGAGGGCAAUCUCCCCCAUCCUGGCUGAGACAGGACCUACAGAAGGAUAUGCAGUCCUGUGACCAGCACUUACAACUGUACCAGGACAAAGGAGAGAGGCUGGUGAUAAACCACAUUCAAUCUGUGCUAUAGUCACUGGAGAGUUUGACUGAAAAAAGAAGACUGAAAGAAGGACUAUCAUAAUAAUUACAAAAUAUUCAUGGUUACUGAAUGGAUUCCAGAAUGAAUGGCACAACACUGUAAACAAAACUGCACCCUCCCAAAAUCAUCUGGCAGUAAGUAGUAUUAAGAACGUUGUGUUCAAUGUAAAGGAUUAAAAAUUCACUGUAUAGGGAAUAGAACUACUAAGGUUGCUGGCUGAAGAUCUUAAGAUAUAAAAGGUAUUAGAUUACCUACUAUUCUCUGCUUUAAUCUAACACAAAUGUUUUAUUGUGGUCAAACUCAACUCUUGGAUUCAAAGUCAGUAUCAAACAAAUCAGAUGUAUCGAACAAAAGCAAAGAGAAACUCCACCAAAAAAACCUCUUUGAAUAUAUAGUGGGAGUUUCACAGGGCACCUCUGCAUGGAUCUGUGUGAUGCUGUGUCAAGUAGUUCGAGCCCAGAAAGUGACACAACCCUUUCAGAUCCUUAGGGAUCUGUGCCAGAGCCAGUGCUCCUUCUGCAGGAGAGCUAAAAAAAAUGUUCAGAAAUAAAACUGAUAGGACUAACUCACUGAACUAUUAAAAAUGAGAAC
Molecule: long non-coding RNA, 1632 nt
Organism: Oxyura jamaicensis (ruddy duck)
Lineage: Eukaryota; Metazoa; Chordata; Aves; Anseriformes; Anatidae
Exons: 7
Source: RefSeq, a predicted model, not a curated record